This 254-nucleotide ribosomal RNA is filed under the name uncultured bacterium. RNAcentral describes it as "partial 16S ribosomal RNA". It matches the Rfam family "Bacterial small subunit ribosomal RNA", at positions 524 to 776 of the family's 1533-position model. The record is from RNAcentral.
UACGAAGGGGGCUAGCGUUGCUCGGAAUCACUGGGCGUAAAGGGUGCGUAGGCGGGUCUUUAAGUCAGGGGUGAAAUCCUGGAGCUCAACGUCCAGAACUGCCUUUGAUACUGAGGAUCUUGAGUUCGGGAGAGGUGAGUGGAACUGCGAGUGUAGAGGUGAAAUUCGUAGGAUAUUCGCAAGAACACCAGUGGCGAAGGCGGCUCACUGGCCCGAGUACUGACGCUGAGGCACGAAGCGUGGGAGCAAGCAGG